RNAcentral lists this ribosomal RNA (278 nucleotides) under uncultured eukaryote. Its description in RNAcentral is "partial 18S ribosomal RNA". It matches the Rfam family "Eukaryotic small subunit ribosomal RNA", at positions 21 to 299 of the family's 1831-position model. The record is from RNAcentral.
UAGUCAUAUGCUUGUCUCAAAGAUUAAGCCAUGCAUGUCUAAGUAUAAACAUCUUUAUACAGUGAAACUGCGUACAGCUCAUUAUAUCAGUUAUUAUUUAUUUGAUGGUACACAACUACAUGGAUACCUGUAGUAAUUCUAGAGCUAAUACAUGCGUAAAGUCCCAACUUCUGGAAGGGAUGUAUUUAUUAGAUAAAAAACCAAUGCGGGCAACCGCUUCUUUGGUGAUUCAUAGUAACUUCAACGGAUCGCACGACUCACGUCGGCGACAGUUCAUU